RNAcentral lists this ribosomal RNA (301 nucleotides) under uncultured bacterium. RNAcentral describes it as "partial 16S ribosomal RNA". It matches the Rfam family "Bacterial small subunit ribosomal RNA", at positions 509 to 809 of the family's 1533-position model. The record is from RNAcentral.
CAGUAGCCGCGGUAAUGCGAAGGGUGCAAGCGUUACUCGGAAUUACUGGGCGUAAAGCGUGUGUAGGUGGUUGUUUAAGCCUGUCGUGAAAGCCCUGGGCUCAACCUGGGAAUUGCGAUGGAUACUGGGCGACUAGAGUGCGGUAGAGGAUAGUGGAAUUUCCGGUGUAGCAGUGAAAUGCGUAGAGAUCGGAAGGAACAUCUGUGGCGAAGGCGACUAUCUGGGCCAACACUGACACUGAGGCACGAAAGCGUGGGGAGCAAACAGGAUUAGAUACCCCGGUAGUCCCUGUCUCUUAUAU